This 468-nucleotide ribosomal RNA is filed under the name uncultured bacterium. RNAcentral's name for it is "partial 16S ribosomal RNA". It matches the Rfam family "Bacterial small subunit ribosomal RNA", at positions 28 to 507 of the family's 1533-position model. The record is from RNAcentral.
GACGAACGCUGGCGGCGUUCUUAACACAUGCAAGUCGAACGUAAAUGCCCUGCUUUUUUGGGGUGCUCGAGUGGCUAACGGGUGAUUAACACGUGAGUAACCUGCCCUUGACUUUGGGAUAACUUCAGGUCACUGUGGCUAAUACCUGAUAGGAGCUCCUGCUGCAUGGUUGGGGUUGGAAAGUUUCGGCGGUUGGGGAUGGACUCGCGUCUUAUCAGCUCGUUGGUGGGGUAGUGGCUUACCAAGGCUUUGACCGGUAGCCGGCCUGAGAGGGUGACCGGCGACAGUGGGACUGAGAUACGGCGCAGACUCCGACGGGAGGCAGGAGUGGGGAAGAUUGCAAAAGGGGGGGGAGCCUGAUGCAGGAACGAGGCGUGGGGGAUGACGGGCUUCGGGUUGUAAACCGCUGUCGCCUGAGACGAAGCGUGAGUGACGGUAAUGGGUAAAGAAGCACCGGCUAACUACGUG